CUGCUAGCCUCUUCCUUUUUCUCAGUCAUUUCUUCCUCACUCAACUGUUUUAUAUGUGGAAGAAGCUCUCUUAGCAAAUAUAGGGAGUGCUCAACGUCAAUCUUCACAUCUCCUUUGGUUUUCAAUUUUCCCGUGUUACUCCCUCUGCGACAUAUAUACACUCUACCCUGCCAAUUAUUUUCAUCAAAGCCAGCAACUCAAUUGGCAACACGCUCAGACAAAAUAUGCAAGUAGUAAUCAAUCAAAAUUAAAUUUAAAGCUAAGAAGACCCAACAAAUAGCCCUA
Molecule: long non-coding RNA, 285 nt
Filed under: Lotus japonicus
Lineage: Eukaryota; Viridiplantae; Streptophyta; Magnoliopsida; Fabales; Fabaceae
Description: long non-coding RNA (LJAP_LNC001830)
Source: RNAcentral